This is a non-coding RNA of Chelonoidis abingdonii (Abingdon island giant tortoise), 2778 nucleotides long. The record is from RefSeq and is a predicted model, not a curated record. Lineage: Eukaryota; Metazoa; Chordata; Testudines; Testudinidae.
AAAUGCAUUAGACUGGGGGAGAGGUGAGUCCCACAUUGGAAAUCAUCAGAUCCUGGUCUCUUCCAUCCUGCUAAAACCCGCUUGCUUGGAAGUUGUGUAGAUGCCCAGUCUCUUGUUAUGCAUAGAGAAGAGGAAGUGGAUGUCAGUCGCAAGCUUACAAAGAACUAUUCUAUAUAAUAGUGAGGUAAACCAUAUUUUUUAAAUAUAUGAAAAAUAUCUUGAUGGUCCCAUUCUCAGAGAAGGCAAAACAAGAAGUAUACCAGCCUUUGAAAAAGGUUGUUGUUUUUUGGGUUUUUUUUGGCGGGGGGAGGUCUUAUUAAACAGCAUGAAGCAACAUUUUGGAAAAAAAGUAUUUACCUUCAGAAAUCACCUUAAACCUUUUCAUUAAGUAUAUUUGAAGGCUGUCUUUAAAAAUCAAUGUAGUUUUCACAUAAUUCAUGCAGAGAUUGUAUGUUUUUAAAUUUAAUUUUUUAUUCUAUAUUUUACCUGUUACCAAAAGUGUUAUUUUACAGAAAAACACACAUAUGCAUACAGUAUUCUAUAAAGCUUAAAAAAGCCAAACUGGUCCAAAUGUCAUUACAAGUUGAUUAUUUUAUUUCAAUAAUGAAUGUUUUUAAAUGCUGUAUUCCUACACUUCUGUGUAUAGUACAUAUUUAAAUUAAAUUUACUAUUGUGUUGUGGAGUAUACAUCUGAGUAAAGCUACAUAUAGAAAAAUACACAUAGCCAAUGACUGCACCACAGAUUGGGGGAGGGGGGGCAUGGUCCAGUUUGCCAGGGGAAGGGGUAUUUCACUUUUGGGGAGUUGCAGGGAGAGGCACAUAUAAUGCUGCAAAAGCAGAGUGGGUCAGUAUUGCAAUGCUGACUCAUCCCUCAGGGACCAGAAGAGCUGGGGAGUUGAUAAAGGGCAAGCCCAGCAAAAGACCCUUUUCCCUGGACCAGAUGGAGUAGCACCCAACCUCUCAACCUUGGAAGUGGCAAAAAAGCAGGUUUGGUCAGUAUCACAGUGGGCACGGCACUAGCCACUCCUUUCUUGGGAAGCUGGGAAGGAAUUUUCCCCCUCACCACCAGAUUAGCCAAACUGGAGAGGGAGAUUUUUGCAUCCCCCACAGCAUGUUCUGGAGGGCAGGGGGCGGGGGGAGGGGGGCGUGUUGUAAUGGUGAGUAGGAAAGGAAGUUAGGCUAUGAUGUCGCAACUCAUUAUGUAAGUAUGGGGCAGAUGUCCAGUGCAGGCACUCCACAGGGAAGGGAUACAGUGAUCAUAUAAAUGGUUUGAUAAAGAACUUAAAGGAGGUGUUUGUUAAAAGAGUGGAAUGGGCUGAGGAGAGGGAGGGGUGGCAUGCACAUGACUGAGACCUUUCUUUAUAGCCCACCUUAACCCUCAUUUGAGAGUGGGAGGUCCCAGCAAUGGACUGGCUGGAGACAAGGGUGGAAAAAAAGGAGUCGGGGGCUGGCAGAAGUCCCCAGGAAAAUACUGAAAUGAUCAUGGUGUUACCUGCACUGUACACUUUUAUCUGUCGGGUAGUCCCAGACAUCCAAUAAAAUUGCAGCCUGGUUAAAUCAUAUUCACCAUCUUCUGUCCUUCCCGUAUAGCCAGACAACAAUAUAGCAUAAGGAAGAUAUAAUAGGCGUGUGUUUAACAAUUUUGCCAUUUUUCCAUUUCUUUUGUUUCUGUUUUCCUACCCUCUCAUCUUUCACCACUGCAUAUUAAUAGCCAGUGCUUUAAAUCUAUAGUAGAUUUAGAGACAAAAUAGAAUUAACAACACAUGGUAUGUGUCAGUUGGCAUUAACAUUGGCUACUCCUGACAGUUAGUAGUGUAGCUGAAACUGAGUGCCAACUUCGCAUUAAAUAUAGUCUACAAUGUAUAUGCUAAAAUAAAAAACACUGAAUCAGUAAAGGAGGGUAAUCUCACAAAAUAUUAAAGUUUGUUAUAAAAUAGUGCAAUUCAGAAGAGCUUUUUUCCUACAUAUGGUUGGAAAUACCAUUGCCACAUGUAUACAUUUUAGUAGAUUUGUGAACAAUGUUAAACACUAACUAAUGAAUUAGAUUUAAUUUCUAUAAGGCAACUAUAAUGCAACAGUUAAAUGUUCACAGUAGUUUACUACUAGUUUGCUUUGGUGCACUGCCAUUAAAGGCAUCUAUUUCGUCAUAAGACAAGAUUACCAGGUUUAACACUGCUGCAGUAACAAGCAAAAUACUAAUAAUUCUAACUUGAGAUGUGCAGGACUAUCUGAAGUCUCAGUGCUGAAGGGCUUUAUUUCUUUCACAAAUUAGACUAUUUUUGUUUUAUUCUUUAACUGCUAAAGAAAUGCUGUUGUAGCAGUGUCUGCGUGGAGCAACAGUUACAUGCAGUGGUCAUGUGCAAUCUUAGAUGUUUCUUCUCUGGGAAUGUUCCUUGUUUUUUGUUGUAAGACAUUAGUCUAACCCAAGUUUGAAAAUCCCCUCUCUCUCGCUCUCUCUCUCGGCCACACUUAAUUCUAAUGGCUUGGGUGUGAUGAGCAAUUUGUAAAAAUAAGGAAUUUCCUUAUUACUAUUGCUUUGCAUCUCAUUGAUACUGUAACAGCUGCCCUCUCCCACAUUUCACAUACCUUGAACUCACAAAGUUUGUUAAACCUUUCCAUGACUGCCUAAUCCUGUUAUGAAAAGUAAAAUAUUCUGAGAGAAGUGACAUUAAACAAAAAUAAACCCAAACAAAAAAGUGUUCGGAUAAACAGUCCUUGCAACUUCUGCACAUGAUUUUUUACAGCAGUGUUUAAGAAAUCCUUUAAUGGCAGUGCUCA